Molecule: unclassified non-coding RNA, 4401 nt
Filed under: Penaeus chinensis
Lineage: Eukaryota; Metazoa; Arthropoda; Malacostraca; Decapoda; Penaeidae
Description: uncharacterized LOC125031428, transcript variant X8
Source: RNAcentral
AAUGGGAACCCCUCCCCCCCCACAAGAACAAAAAUAAUAUUGCUAAAUAAAUAAAUAAAAAAAACGACAGAAACAGACCAAGUUUCAGCCCCAGCGAAGGGCUUGCUUGACCAGCGAGCGCGAGGUCGACGCUAGGCGGACGAGCGAGCGACUUCCAGCCUCAGUCUGCGCUCUCUCGUGGUGAGGGAAGGGUGUGUCCCGUCGUCUCUCGCGGUUGCCCCUCGCAUGCGCCUUGGACUGUGGCUUUUCAGAUUAGGAAAUAAACAACGAAAAUAUAAAAAAAAUUGUAAGCCCAAGUUUAAUAAUAUUUGGAAAGGAUAAUAGAAAUAAUUGUUGGAAAAUAUUUUGCACCUGUUUUUAAAGCUACAGUCUUUUACAAGGAAAUACAAUUAAUCGCAGCAAAAGAGUAUUGUCCAUAUUACAACCGUUUUUCUUGGGUAGAAAAAACAUUGAAUAAUUCGGCAAAGUAGACGGAAAUGGCUUAACAAAUAGCGUGAUAAUGAAAAAACAAAAUGAACACGGGUUCCCGCACACUUAGUGAGAACGAGAGAACAAGGCUUUUCCUUACACGUGGAGAGAGAACAAAAGAACACACCGACCGGUAACAGCGAACCCGAGGAGCCAAUGAUGGAAGAAUCGCACAGAGGCACCAUCAGCCCUGAACAGCCGGACCGCCUAUAGUGCCGGCAGCCGAGAGCAUGAGCGAGGGCGCGCGGAGAUGGUGAGUGACCUGCAGGAGAGACAGCACCGGGGGCGGCCAUGGUGACGGUCUAAGGAAAACCAGCAGGGAUGCCCCUGGGGUUCUUCGAGAAGCACCUUCACCGACGCGCCACCGGUGGUCAUGACGCCCAAGCCUCCCGCCAGCAGGACUUCACGCCCUCGAAUUCUAGGAAAGGAUCACGGGCGUGGGUUGAGGACUGCUGUGGCGCCGAGAACGACCUCUAUGACGACCCGCCGCCCAUACCCUCGCGGCUCAGCCAUGCCACGCCCAAGCUCAACGACCUCCACCCUCAGCUCGAUCUCCCCGGCGCCAGGAAUGCCCGUCCGUCGCUCACCGGCAGCGAGGACCUCCACGAGCUUCUGCAGAGGAAUUCGCAGUCGAUGGGUGGAGUCUUGGUGUUACUCUUGGGUAUCGUCGUGUUGACAUGGACACUGGGGGCGUGUGGGGCAUCGUGGGCGUGGCUGCUAGUGUCCGUGGGCAUCACCUGGGCGGUUGUGAGAGGCAGCUUAGAGAGGGUAGCUGAGGAUGCCAGCAGAUACGUGUCUCUCCGCCUGCACCGCCGUCGGGCCCUGCAGGCAGACGAGACGUGCGAAUGGCUGAACAUCCUCCUGAAUCGGUGGUGGGUCUUCUCCUCGUCGUCCAUCUUCGCCAAAGCCAAGGCUGCCUUGGAUCCCAGGCUCCUUGAGGCCAAACCUGCUUUCCUGGAGACCAUCAGCUUGAAGCAGCUUUCUCUCGGCGACCGCACGCCCGUCAUCCGCAGCGUCCGCGCCUGGGAUGUCAGCACGCCCGGGGUGGAGGGGGUGUCCCGCCGGCCUCUGUGCCCCUCACGGCCUCCUGCAGGACUCGACCAUGCCCCCACGCACACAGUCGCGCUGCUGUGCGAUCUCGCCCUCGACUCCGACUCCUUCUCGGCCGUGCUGGCGGCCAGGAUCGGCGGCAAAGGCAUGGGCGUCGAUCUGGACGUGGCCGUGGAGAAGCUCGCCGUGCUGGGUCGCGUCAUGGUGACUGCGACGCUAGACAUGGAGGCGCCCUUCCCGCACCUCACGCGCCUGUCCCUGUCCUUCACCGAGAAGCCCCAAGUGUGGUUCAGUGUCCGGAUCCUCAAGGCUGUGCAAAUGAUGGAGGUUCCUGUACUGAAGACGUGGCUGCACUCGCUGGUGAUGGACGCCCUGGCCUCGGCGUGGGUCGACCCCGGACAGCUGGAGAUCAACAUCCACUCUAGCGAAGCUUUCGUCCCUGAACAGCGAACUGGGGACGCCCUCGCUCAGGGUGUCCUCACCGUUAUAUUAUGGACGCAGAAGGGGUCAUCAGGCCUGGCCGUGGACGAAGACAAGUGGGUCGUGGUCCUCAUAGGCGGCCAACAGCACGUGACACCCCCGCUGAACACUCCUCGCUGGCAGGAGGCGUGUAGCUUCCUGGUGGAUUCGUCCCUCAACAACCACAACCUCGUGCUCAAGGUCAAGAGUAAACGGCUUAUUACAACCACCAUAACGCAGUUCGACCUCCCGCUUAGUCAGUACAGCUUGGAUACAAGUAGAGUCGUGGAGACGGUUCUGCACAAAAAGGGCGUGAAGGUGAUGGGGGGAAGUGUGCCCCCACUCCACCUGCGGCUGCAAUACACGCCUCUCACGGCUGUCAACUUGGACGUGCCCCUCCCGCCCGCCCUCGUCGAGAACCAGGAAGGCGCCGGCGUGCUGUACAUCCUGGUCCACGGGGCUGAUAACAUCACCACCUCAGAUUACCUUCCCUCGUGUUACUGUCUCAUCUUCAGUAACCGAAAGAAGGUGAAGACGACCCACUACGUGUGCGAGUGUGGAUCCCCCCGUUGGGAGUGCGGCGUGGAGGUCCUGGUCCGUGAGGUGUCCAGCGUGACCCUCUCCUUCGCCGUGUGCUCGAUGCCGCGGGGGAGCCAGGACACCGAGCUGCUGGGGUUGACGUCCUUCUCCCUCGCUACGAUGGAGCUGCCCAUAGUUCGCCGCCAGCUGCCUCUGAGCAGAAGUCUCCCAACGCCAGGCUGUGCCGUAUCCUCUGGUCCUUCGCCUGGAACCGUGACCAUAUCCGUCGUGUUCCGUGCCGUGGCUUCCGUUGCCGGGUGCAACAUGCCCUCGGGCGAAAUGCUCUCGGACAAGUAUCCUCCCCAGGUCUCCAGGUCUCCGGUACCCCCUUGUUCAUCCCUGUCGGCGCCUCCUCAAAGACGCUCCUCCCUGCCCUCGGUCGAUGACGAUGAACUAGCGACGAAGAAGAGGAAUAACACGCACUGGAUUAGCCACGCUAAACAGCUCCUAGCAACUGGGCGGGAUGGAGACGGGGGCACUCAGGACAUCGGCGAUAUCCUAGCCUCAGGUCUUGGCCUCAUGGAGCUCACGAUCAUCAGAGCGCGAGACUUGGUGGCCAAAGACCUAAAUGGCUACAGUGACCCUUACUGCGUCGUGAAAAUCAACAGCGAGGUCAAGUACCGCACUCGGGUCAAGAAGAAGACCCUCAACCCUGAGUGGGAGGAAACCCUGAUGACGCACCUGCCGAGACACCCAGACAUCCUUGCCAUUACUUUGUGGGAUCACGAUGCUUUUGGAAGAGAUUUCCUCGGUUCUGUUGCUUUGAAGGAGUCGGACGUCCGCGACUUAUCUCACAAGGAUGCUCCGAAGUGGUGCACGCUGGAGGGAACCAAAUCUGGCCAGAUAGAAAUCAGAGUCAAGGUCAUUUCUGAUGAUUAUGAGCACCAAAUAAUACCAUCAACAACAGACACCAGUUUAACCUCUAGUACAGCAGUGGCAGAUGACAUGGAGAGAACUGAUGAAAUGAGCAGAUCAAACAGUGUCAAGGAUGAAGUUGCAGGGGCAUCAUCAGGAGAAGAUUCAGGAGUAUUGUUGCACCAGUCAUCACCAACACAUGAGACUGAGACACCAAGAUUGCCUCGAAUGGGCUCUCAGAGCGUGUCUUACGUAUCAGGGGAUCAUCCUCUUUUGUCAAACGGCCGCAGAGCAAGUGAGUCAGCUGUCCUGAUGCCCAAAAAUCACACCAGGGACGACCAAGACAGCAGCCUUAGUGGUUCCGUCACCCCAUCUACUUCCAGCCCUGUUCGUACAGUGUCAAAGUCAAGGAGAACUGGGGCUAACAUAAUUGCGAGUGCCUUAGCAAUGGCACGCAGCCAUCCUAGACCAGAAACUCCAAAUGGAGAUUCAUCCUCCUCAUCCCAUUGUCAAAGUGACAACCCUGUUACUGAAGACCAGAGCUCAGGAACGAACGGUCUUACUCCAACUUCCAAAUCGCAUGGGAAACCACUCCCUAAGAUUAGUCUCACAGAGCACAGUGAAGAUGAUUAUGGUGGCAGUAGCCCAGAACAUCACGUCAAGAGCAAGAAGUCGUCAGAUAGUGGUCUAAGGGCCAUGAGGGAGAAGCUACGUCGUCUACGAAAGUAGGGGUAACGAACAGUCUGUCACAGCGGCCAGGUGUGUUUCUCAACGUACGGGGUAUAGCAGGGCAGGUUCAGGGCCUUCACAUACCUCGCUCUGGCUUGCAACUGUUCCUGCGUGUCCGUGUGAGCGAAGAGAAAAGCGCCAGCAGCAGCAGCAGCAGUAGCAACAAAAUUACCAAGACUGUAGGUCGGUCUCGCCUGGUACCUGCCUCCCCUUCACCCACCUUUGAUUGUGAAUGGAUUAUAGAAGGUGAAGCUACCAGAA